This 1372-nucleotide ribosomal RNA is filed under the name uncultured bacterium. Its description in RNAcentral is "bacterial SSU rRNA". It matches the Rfam family "Bacterial small subunit ribosomal RNA", at positions 28 to 1381 of the family's 1533-position model. The record is from RNAcentral.
GAUGAACGCUGGCGGCGUGCCUAAUACAUGCAAGUCGAGCGAACGGACGAGAAGCUUGCUUCUCUGAUGUUAGCGGCGGACGGGUGAGUAACACGUGGAUAACCUACCUAUAAGACUGGGAUAACUUCGGGAAACCGGAGCUAAUACCGGAUAAUAUUUUGAACCGCAUGGUUCAAAAGUGAAAGACGGUCUUGCUGUCACUUAUAGAUGGAUCCGCGCUGCAUUAGCUAGUUGGUAAGGUAACGGCUUACCAAGGCAACGAUGCAUAGCCGACCUGAGAGGGUGAUCGGCCACACUGGAACUGAGACACGGUCCAGACUCCUACGGGAGGCAGCAGUAGGGGAUCUUCCGCAAUGGGCGAAAGCCUGACGGAGCAACGCCGCGUGAGUGAUGAAGGUCUUCGGAUCGUAAAACUCUGUUAUUAGGGAAGAACAUAUGUGUAAGUAACUGUGCACAUCUUGACGGUACCUAAUCAGAAAGCCACGGCUAACUACGUGCCAGCAGCCGCGGUAAUACGUAGGUGGCAAGCGUUAUCCGGAAUUAUUGGGCGUAAAGCGCGCGUAGGCGGUUUUUUAAGUCUGAUGUGAAAGCCCACGGCUCAACCGUGGAGGGUCAUUGGAAACUGGAAAACUUGAGUGCAGAAGAGGAAAGUGGAAUUCCAUGUGUAGCGGUGAAAUGCGCAGAGAUAUGGAGGAACACCAGUGGCGAAGGCGACUUUCUGGUCUGUAACUGACGCUGAUGUGCGAAAGCGUGGGGAUCAAACAGGAUUAGAUACCCUGGUAGUCCACGCCGUAAACGAUGAGUGCUAAGUGUUAGGGGGUUUCCGCCCCUUAGUGCUGCAGCUAACGCAUUAAGCACUCCGCCUGGGGAGUACGACCGCAAGGUUGAAACUCAAAGGAAUUGACGGGGACCCGCACAAGCGGUGGAGCAUGUGGUUUAAUUCGAAGCAACGCGAAGAACCUUACCAAAUCUUGACAUCCUUUGACAACUCUAGAGAUAGAGCCUUCCCCCUCGGGGGACAAAGUGACAGGUGGUGCAUGGUUGUCGUCAGCUCGUGUCGUGAGAUGUUGGGUUAAGUCCCGCAACGAGCGCAACCCUUAAGCUUAGUUGCCAUCAUUAAGUUGGGCACUCUAAGUUGACUGCCGGUGACAAACCGGAGGAAGGUGGGGAUGACGUCAAAUCAUCAUGCCCCUUAUGAUUUGGGCUACACACGUGCUACAAUGGACAAUACAAAGGGCAGCGAAACCGCGAGGUCAAGCAAAUCCCAUAAAGUUGUUCUCAGUUCGGAUUGUAGUCUGCAACUCGACUACAUGAAGCUGGAAUCGCUAGUAAUCGUAGAUCAGCAUGCUACGGUGAAUACGUUCCCGGGUCU